UACGGGAGGCAGCAGUGGGGAAUAUUGGACAAUGGGGCAACCCUGAUCCAGCCAUGCCGCGUGUGUGAAGAAGGCCUUUUGGUUGUAAAGCACUUUAAGCAGGGAGGAGAGGCUAAUGGUUAAUACCCAUUAGAUUAGACGUUACCUGCAGAAUAAGCACCGGCUAACUCUGUGCCAGCAGCCGCGGUAAUAUAGAGGGUGCGAGCGUUAAUCGGAAUUACUGGGCGUAAAGCGAGUGUAAGUGGCUCAUUAAGUCACAUGUGAAAAUCCCCGGGCUUAACCUGGGAACUGCAUGUGAUACUGGUGGUGCUAGAAUAUGUGAGAGGGAAGUAGAAUUCCAGGUGUAGCGGUGAAAUGCGUAGAGAUCUGGAGGAAUACCGAUGGGCGAAGGGCAGCUUCCUGGGCAUAAUAUUGACACUGAGAUUCGAAAGCUGGGUAGGCAAACAGGAUUAGGAUAACC
RNAcentral lists this ribosomal RNA (460 nucleotides) under uncultured bacterium. RNAcentral describes it as "bacterial SSU rRNA". It matches the Rfam family "Bacterial small subunit ribosomal RNA", at positions 340 to 787 of the family's 1533-position model. The record is from RNAcentral.